ACAUUUGCUGGUCGCUGGAAGAUCGAAAGACUGGACAAAAUCCAUAUGGCGGCCGGCCGGCGCGGUGGCUCUCGCCUGUGAUCCCGCGCUUUGGGAGGCCGAGGCGGGAGGUUCUUCUGAGCUGAAGAGUUCGAGACCAGCCCGGGAAACGUAGUGAGACCCCCACCAUCUCUACAAAUAAUAACAAACAAACAAAAGGUCCCCCCGCCCCGCCGGCCGCGGGUUGCCGUCGCACCCAGGCACAUUUGAAGGGCGGCAGGAGCCAAGGCCUGGCUGUCACUGCUGUCCCGGACCCCUUUGACGGCCCCUGGGGGUUCACCAGAGGGCUGGCCCGUGGCUCACUGCCCAGUCCUCUAUGAGGACACUUCGCCAUAGACAUUUUGUUAUUGCAGACUGCUCUGGGAACACCCCUGACUGGGCCCUAAAAUGAAUUCCAGAAAAGGAAUCGCAGGUCAAGGGGCGGUUCUAAAAGGCUUGGGCUAGGGUCAGCCAGAGCUCUGUGCAGCAGAUGGGGGCCUGGAAAAGUCUGCAGAAGUGGCCUUCCGCCCAGGCCCUGCCUCCCCCGACGGGGGCACGUUGUCCUGAGUGCAGAGCUGCUUCUAGGAGGGAGUAGGGGUCCUGUGUCCCCUCCUGCGAACCAAGGCAUAAUGAGAACUGGAUGACUUGGGCCCACUUUUGGGUCUGGUGAGCAGCCUGGGCAGGAGACUGGAGGAGGUGCUGCUGGAGGAUGGGCAGAACAGGGAAGCGGGAGUGGCGUUCUGUCUCAGCAACACCAUUCCCAGCUGGCUCCUCUGUGGAGUGUGUGUGCAGGGGAGCGGGGGCAGGGGACACGGAUUUUCUUCCUCCAGCUCUUAGCUCUCAGGACCAGAGCUUGGAGAGGAACAGAGACCCCCCUACCCAGCCUAGGGUUUAGCCUGCGCCCGAACCCAAGCCAGUUAGCAAUGACCCUAGGGCACCCUCCCCAGUCACUCAGCCACUCCAGCCUGGUAAGAUGAGGUGGCCAGGCUCCUGCAGAGCGAGCUCCCCUCUGGAGCCCUGGCAGCCUGUAG
Molecule: long non-coding RNA, 1049 nt
Filed under: Homo sapiens (human)
Lineage: Eukaryota; Metazoa; Chordata; Mammalia; Primates; Hominidae
Description: HSALNT0379485
Source: RNAcentral